Molecule: ribosomal RNA, 388 nt
Filed under: uncultured bacterium
Lineage: Bacteria
Description: bacterial SSU rRNA
Rfam family: Bacterial small subunit ribosomal RNA
Source: RNAcentral
AUUGAACGCUGGCGGCAUGCCUUACACAUGCAAGUCGAACGGCAGCACGGGAGCAAUCCUGGUGGCGAGUGGCGAACGGGUGAGUAAUAUAUCGGAACGUGCCCAGUAGUGGGGGAUAGCCCGGCGAAAGCCGGAUUAAUACCGCAUGAGACCUGAGGGUGAAAGCGGGGGAUCGCAAGACCUCGCGCUAUUGGAGCGGCCGAUAUCAGAUUAGCUAGUUGGUGGGGUAAAGGCCUACCAAGGCAACGAUCUGUAGUUGGUCUGAGAGGACGACCAGCCACACUGGGACUGAGACACGGCCCAGACUCCUACGGGAGGCAGCAGUGGGGAAUUUUGGACAAUGGGCGCAAGCCUGAUCCAGCAAUGCCGCGUGCAGGAAGAAGGCCUC